Molecule: ribosomal RNA, 391 nt
Filed under: uncultured bacterium
Lineage: Bacteria
Description: bacterial SSU rRNA
Rfam family: Bacterial small subunit ribosomal RNA
Source: RNAcentral
GACGAACGCUGGCGGCGUGCUUAACACAUGCAAGUCGAGCGGUAAGGCCCUUUCGGGGGUACGACGAGCGGCGAACGGGUGAGUAACACGUGGGUGACCUGCCCUCAGCUCUGGGAUAAGCCUGGGAAACCGGGUCUAAUACUGGAUAUGACUCCAUGACGCAUGUUGUGGGGUGGAAAGCCUUGUGCGGCUGAGGAUGGGCCCGCGGCCUAUCAGCUUGUUGGUGGGGUGAGGCCUACCAAGGCGACGACGGGUAGCCGGCCUGAGAGGGCGACCGGCCGCACUGGGACUGAGACACGGCCCAGACUCCUACGGGAGGCAGCAGGUGGGGAAUCUUGCGCAAUGGGCGAAAGCCUGACGCAGCGACGCCGCGUGAGGGAUGACGGCCUGG